This 357-nucleotide ribosomal RNA is filed under the name uncultured bacterium. Its description in RNAcentral is "bacterial SSU rRNA". It matches the Rfam family "Bacterial small subunit ribosomal RNA", at positions 8 to 350 of the family's 1533-position model. The record is from RNAcentral.
AGAGUUUGAUCCUGGCUCAGGAUGAACGCUAGCUACAGGCUUAACACAUGCAAGUCGAGGGGAAACGACAUCGAAAGCUUGCUUUUGAUGGGCGUCGACCGGCGCACGGGUGAGUAACGCGUAUCCAACCUGCCCACCACUUGGGGAUAACCUUGCGAAAGUAAGACUAAUACCCAAUGACGUCUCUAGAAGACAUCUGAAGGAGAUUAAAGAUUUAAUCGGUGAUGGAUGGGGAUGCGUCUGAUUAGCUUGUUUGGCGGGGUUAACGGCCCGACCAAGGCGACGAUCAGUAGGGGUUCUGAGAGGAAGGUCCCCCACAUUGGAACUGAGACACGGUCCAAACUCCUACGGGAGGCA